CCUACGGGAGGCAGCAGUGAGGAAUAUUGGUCAAUGGACGAGAGUCUGAACCAGCCAAGUAGCGUGAAGGAUGACUGCCCUAUGGGUUGUAAACUUCUUUUAUAUGGGAAUAAAAUGUUCCACGUGUGGGAUUUUGUAUGUACCAUAUGAAUAAGGAUCGGCUAACUCCGUGCCAGCAGCCGCGGUAAUCCGGAGGAUCCGAGCGUUAUCCGGAUUUAUUGGGUUUAAAGGGAGCGUAGGUGGAUUGUUAAGUCAGUUGUGAAAGUUUGCGGCUCAACCGUAAAAUUGCAGUUGAAACUGGCAGUCUUGAGUACAGUAGAGGUGGGCGGAAUUCGUGGUGUAGCGGUGAAAUGCUUAGAUAUCACGAAGAACUCCGAUUGCGAAGGCAGUUCACUGGACUGCAACUGACACUGAGGCUCGAAAGUGUGGGUAUCAAACAGGAUUAGAUACCCGUGUAGUC
Molecule: ribosomal RNA, 460 nt
Filed under: uncultured bacterium
Lineage: Bacteria
Description: partial 16S ribosomal RNA
Rfam family: Bacterial small subunit ribosomal RNA
Source: RNAcentral